RNAcentral lists this ribosomal RNA (315 nucleotides) under Triticum aestivum (bread wheat). RNAcentral's name for it is "partial small subunit ribosomal RNA". Lineage: Eukaryota; Viridiplantae; Streptophyta; Magnoliopsida; Poales; Poaceae. The record is from RNAcentral.
AUGGGGGCAAAUGCCAACUUGGAUACUAUUUUCCCACACAAUAGUUAUGGCACUCUUUUUUUUUCCACAAACGCAUCGCCUGCUGAAUGCAUCAUGAUGUUUAAAAUUAGAUAUAUGGGCAAUGAUGUAAUAGACCAUAAGAAUAGAAAAUCACUCUCUUUAUUUCCUUCGUUCUAUUCCUUUGAGAAUAUACAAAAGGUUGGGGUGUUCAAACUUUACAGAGUAAUCAUAGAGGUAGGUCAUUUUGAUGAUACAUUAGUAUCUUCUAGGCAAAUAUUAGGGUGCUCUUUAUACCUAAGCCAGGUUGACACCUAA